UGUAUCUAUGUAUAUUUGUAUACACACAUGUAUAUGUGUUUGUUUGUGUGUUGUGUGUGUGAUAUAAGGAUAUAUGAG
This 78-nucleotide microRNA precursor is filed under the name Loxodonta africana (African savanna elephant). RNAcentral describes it as "miRNA (ENSLAFG00000023468.1)". The record is from RNAcentral. Lineage: Eukaryota; Metazoa; Chordata; Mammalia; Proboscidea; Elephantidae.